Molecule: ribosomal RNA, 254 nt
Filed under: uncultured bacterium
Lineage: Bacteria
Description: partial 16S ribosomal RNA
Rfam family: Bacterial small subunit ribosomal RNA
Source: RNAcentral
UACGAAGGGGGCUAGCGUUGCUCGGAAUCACUGGGCGUAAAGCGCACGUAGGCGGCUUGUUAAGUCAGGGGUGAAAUCCUGGAGCUCAACUCCAGAACUGCCUUUGAUACUGGCAAGCUUGGAGUCCGGGAGAGGUGAGUGGAACUGCGAGUGUAGAGGUGAAAUUCGUAGAUAUUCGGAAGAACACCAGUGGCGAAGGCGACUCGCUGGACAAGUAUUGACGCUGAGGUGCGAAAGCGUGGGGAGCAAACAGG